ACUUCCUGAGAAGGCGACGUCGAGGAUCUCCAGAGCCGGCAUAGAGUGCGCCGCCCGUGCCGCUCCUCCGCGCGAGCAGCUUCUCGCUGGCGACCACACGCCACGCGGUGAGCCGAGGCUGUAGACAGAUCUGAGGGAAGGGAAGCACAGGGACGGGAGGAGGCGGAGCUCGGCAGCUAUCCAUUUUACUCACUGGAAGAUCGACGUGCACCACCAAUACUCCUGCCUUGCUACUGGUUAAGGCGUUGCUGGGCGGCUUCAAGAAGGAUGCAAGGAACUGAUAUGCUGAGGCAUUGAUACAUUGUAAGUUCAAAGAUUAGC
Long non-coding RNA from Setaria italica (foxtail millet), 321 nucleotides. RefSeq lists it as uncharacterized. NCBI's taxonomy places the organism in Eukaryota, Viridiplantae, Streptophyta, Magnoliopsida, Poales, Poaceae. The transcript has 3 exons. The record is from RefSeq and is a predicted model, not a curated record.